This 253-nucleotide ribosomal RNA is filed under the name uncultured bacterium. RNAcentral describes it as "partial 16S ribosomal RNA". It matches the Rfam family "Bacterial small subunit ribosomal RNA", at positions 524 to 776 of the family's 1533-position model. The record is from RNAcentral.
UACGUAGGGUGCAAGCGUUAAUCGGAAUUACUGGGCGUAAAGCGUGCGCAGGCGGCUUUGCAAGACAGAUGUGAAAUCCCCGGGCUUAACCUGGGAACUGCAUUUGUGACUGCAAGGCUAGAGUGUGUCAGAGGGAGGUGGAAUUCCGCGUGUAGCAGUGAAAUUCGUAGAUAUCGGGAGGAACACCGGUGGCGAAGGCGGCGACCUGGGUCGAGACUGACGCUGAGGCGCGAAAGCGUGGGGAGCAAACAGG